RNAcentral lists this long non-coding RNA (3407 nucleotides) under Nicotiana benthamiana. RNAcentral's name for it is "long non-coding RNA (NBEN_LNC020661)". The record is from RNAcentral. Lineage: Eukaryota; Viridiplantae; Streptophyta; Magnoliopsida; Solanales; Solanaceae.
GAAUGUAAUUUUAUUAAAAUCUGGCUUAAAGAGUCUAACGCAUUAUUAAUUUGGGGAAGGCCGUGAAAUUCGCCAAACGGCCUCCCGAAUUUGAAGUAUUUUCAUUUAACAAUUAUUGAGGGCCCCGCACUUUGGCCAGGCUCGUUUCAUCAUUUUAGCCAACCUAAAAGUGACUACAAUUGUCUAUUUUAUUUGUAUCUACAACAAAAGAAAAUAAAAGCUCUAACAAAUUAUUAUUAAAAGAAUAUCUAACGACUAACAAUUAAUUACUAACAUGUCUAUUCCUACUAGUCUUGGGCCUAAAAGAGCCCAGUCCAUGAGAAAUGUGUGCUGGAGCCUCCGAAAUCACUUGCGAUGACCAGGAGCAAUCGAAAUCUUCCUAGGCUCGAAGCAAGCCCAAUAUCAACAAAUGCGACCCAGAGGAGGAGGUCCAAAAUUCACGUUCAAGCAAACAAACUCGACAAAUAAAGGGAAUGUAUUGACGACUGAUUGGGCAUCCAUUAACACAAAUUAAAAUGAACAGAUUUAAGUCUAGUGGGAUUAUUUCUUCAUUUCACUUUUAGUUACCAAUACAUAAACAAAAUUGUGAAUCAACUUGCUAAAGCAUGAAACUGGCGUGUUAUUAAACUCUCUUCUAAAUUAACUGCACUAUUUCACUGAUUGCCUCUCAAUUAACACCAAACGGCCCAAAUGGAAAUCCUUGGGAUCAAAUGACCAUUGUAAAGCCAUGAUCCCAAAGACAACUCUUCUAAAGCAAACAAUGGAUCACAUGGGAGGAAUACCACAAUACCUUUUAAUUCAACCAAUUACAGUUAUUUUCUAAUAGAACUUGUUACUCAGCUCAGCAGAAUCGUCCUAAAAUUAACGUCUAAAGGAAUUGGAGGUUAAAUAUAACAAACUUCGUAUAUAACCCACUACUACUAAUGAGCAUCCUACUUUUGACUAUUAAUACAUGAAUUCGUUAAACUAUGCAAUAUAAGAAUCAAACCAACUAAGACCGUUCAAUCAGCCCAAUAGUCUGUUCAAAUUAUACAAAUCAUACUAUAUUAGCUAACCUUCAUGCCAUUAACAAUAUAAAUUCAUUCUAGUUUGAAACAAUUCCUAAUUUAACUACAAAUAACAAGGCUAAAACAGACAGAAACACUGGGAUAUCAUCAUCACAAAUAUGGCUUCUAUUUAUUCAACAGCACUGAUAUGUCGACAGGGCUCGAAGUUUGUACAUGGAGAUUGAAAUUCAAGUAGAAGAAGAGGAGACAAGCUAAGUAAUGCAGCAGUAGCAGCAACAGCUAGUUUCCAGCAAUAUGAAUGACUACUAGCCCAGUAAUAAAGGCCAAACAGCCCAGAAGUAUUCAAAUCAAGCAGAAUUUAACAAAUCCACUCCAACACAGCAACAAGUCAAACCAGAAGUGAGCACUAAUGCACAGAUAGCCAGUAAAACUCCCAAACUGGAUUCAAACCAACAAUUGCACUCGAAAUAACCAGAAUAGCUUAAAAUUGAACUCUGAACAGUGUGAAUCAAUAUUCAGAAGCUGAAAUCAACUUCCAAACUCAAUGAAACAGAAACUUUUUUGAUUUUUAGCUUUUGUUUGUUUUUGGUUUUUCUGUAGAAAACUGAUAUCUAGGAUGAGAUUUUUGAAAAAUUCUAAUUUGGAACUUGAAAUAGCAGAUCAGUUGCAAUAGGAAGCUCGUUUUGGAUUUUUUGGCGGAAAAAAGAGACCCUUAACAAGGCAAUUGUGAGGCCUUUUAUAGGCACCAAACAGAUUUUCCUUUUCCUUUUAGUCCUCAGUCAUUUUACCUGAAAUGUACUUUAGAACCCACACCUAAAAACUUCUAGAAAAUUUUAGCAAGAUUUCUCAUGUGCAUUUUCUAUUCUGCCCUUACCCUUUUCCUGAAUUACUCCACUGUUUAACUAACCCAAAUCCACUAUUAGCCUAAAUUAACCGGAGGUCUAGGAACUUAAUAGCUAACCAGUUCUUAACGACUACUUCAAAGAAAACAGCACAUGAAGAGAAAUCAUGAAAAUGUCAUUAUUGAUAUAAUUAACAUAAUCAGAUAAUAAACCCAAACGGACUUACUAAACUAAAUCAAUUACUGAAUCAAGCAGAAGUAACUUACAUUAGUACCCAAAUGCACUUACUAAAGAAAGUUCAAACAAACAAAUGACUACCAGAAUCAUAAUUGAAACCUAUGCUUACGAGUCAUGAUUUACCAAAAGGAAUGAAAGAAAUUCAACUUAUUAGCAAAAACACACAAACAUUAAAACUGAAAAAUUAAGAAAACAGACAAACAAAAUUAAAUUAUUCAUUUACAAAUUUAACAAUUAACACUAAGCAAAUUUAAAGCUAAACAAUCAUGAAAAACUAAUUUAACACCAAGAAAAGAAAAGGAAAUCAAAACUUACCGACCCAACUCCAAGAAACCGUUUAAUUUUAAAAGGUUCAAACUCGGCCACAUCUUGGUGAAAAUUGGACUCUCCUGAUAGCAGAAUCAUAAUGGGAAAGGCAUAAGGAUCCACCGGUAACAUUUUAGGGCGAUUUGGCAAGACUAGGGUUUUGGCCGGAAAAUUUCUUUUAAAGAUUCGAGCAAUUGCGGCUAUAUUCGAGACAUGUGGUUAUGGGGGUUGGGUAGAGGAGGCUCAGACGAUCCUAGGGUGUUAAUUUGGUGCCAUUUGGGAUUGGUAGUGUCAUGUCCAGAAAACUUUCAACAAAGAUUCGAAGAAUUGGGAUGAGUUUUGAAGGGAAGUGUUUGUAGAUUUGAGAGGGGGGAGAAGAGAGGAUCACAAGGUGUUAAUUUAGUGGCCGUUGACGUGGGUGACGUUCACCGCCAGCGGCUCUACAGAUGGAGUUACAGAUAGAUACGAGGAAGGAGAUAGAAUGUUUUUUUAGGGUUAAAACAAUCUCGGACAAUUUAUGUAAAAAUGAGGGGGAGUUUCCGGCCAUUGGAUUAAAAUGAUUAAGGGCCCGAAUUGACAGACGCCCAAACAACUUCGUUUUAGGAGAGGUUUUGGACCAGAUAAACCACUCAUGUUUAAGGUUAGUGUUUAUUACAUUUAAGUAUACCAUGUUUCAAUUUAUGUACCAAAAUUUACUUUUAAGGUUUAAUUAUCAAUGAUUUNNNNNNNNNNNNNNNNNNNNNNNNNNNNNNNNNNNNNNNNNNNNNNNGGUUUAAUUAUCAAUGAUUUAUUAGGGGCUUGAUUUGUGGAACAAAAUAUUUCCAUAUUUUCUUUCCCCACUUUUUUCUCUUUCUUCCAACCGAUUUAUACCCUUAUUAAUUACCCCCACGUUUAUUUUUGUCGAUUUUUCUCUUUCUUCCCAAACCGAUCAGCUUUCCCAAUAAAAACUACACCCACCCCCCACCCCCACGUUUAUUUACAUUUACCUUUACCGAUUUCUCUGGUCUCACUUCUU